GGGAUGAACGCUGGCGGCGUGCUUAACACAUGCAAGUCGAACGAUGAAGCAGAGCUUGCUCUGUGGAUUAGUGGCGAACGGGUGAGUAACACGUGAGUAACCUGCCCUUGACUCUGGAAUAAGCGUUGGAAACGACGUCUAAUACCGGAUACGAGCUUCCGCCGCAUGGUGAGGAGCUGGAAAAGAAUUUCGGUCAAGGAUGGACUCGCGGCCUAUCAGGUAGUUGGUGAGGUAAUGGCUCACCAAGCCUACGACGGGUAGCCGGCCUGAGAGGGUGACCGGCCACACUGGAACUGAGACACGGUCCAGACUCCUACGGGAGGCAGCAGUGGGGAAUAUUGCACAAUGGGCGCAAGCCUGAUGCAGCAACGCCGCGUGAGGGACGACGGCCGUUCGGUUCGUAAACCUUCGUUUAGUAGGGAAGAAGGUCGUUCGGUCUGGUACGGUACCUGACGAAGAAAAGCACCGGACUAACGUACGUAGCCAGCACGGACCGAC
This 498-nucleotide ribosomal RNA is filed under the name uncultured soil bacterium. RNAcentral's name for it is "bacterial SSU rRNA". It matches the Rfam family "Bacterial small subunit ribosomal RNA", at positions 27 to 526 of the family's 1533-position model. The record is from RNAcentral.